Molecule: ribosomal RNA, 397 nt
Filed under: uncultured bacterium
Lineage: Bacteria
Description: partial 16S ribosomal RNA
Rfam family: Bacterial small subunit ribosomal RNA
Source: RNAcentral
AUACGUAGGGGGCGAGCGUUGUCCGGAAUGAUUGGGCGUAAAGGGCGCGUAGGCGGCCCGGUAAGUCUGGAGUGAAAGUCCUGUUUUCAAGAUGGGAAUUGCUUUGGAUACUGAUGGGCUUGAGUGCAGGAGAGGUUAUCGGAAUUCCCGGUGUAGCGGUGAAAUGCGUAGAGAUCGGGAGGAACACCAGUGGCGAAGGCGGGUAACUGGACUGCAACGGACGCUGAGGCGCGAAAGUGUGGGGAGCAAACAGGAGUAGAUACCCUGGUAGUCCACACGGUAAACGAUGAAUGCUAGGUGUAAGAGGUAUCGACCCCUGUUGUGCCGGAGUUAACACAAUAAGCAUUCCGCCUGGGGAGUACGGACGCAAGGUUGAAACUCAAAUGAAUUGACGGGG